Molecule: ribosomal RNA, 441 nt
Filed under: uncultured bacterium
Lineage: Bacteria
Description: partial 16S ribosomal RNA
Rfam family: Bacterial small subunit ribosomal RNA
Source: RNAcentral
CCUACGGGGGGCAGCAGUGGGGAAUAUUGCACAAUGGGGGAAACCCUGAUGCAGCGACGCCGCGUGAGUGAAGAAGUAAUUCGUUAUGUAAAGCUCUAUCAGCAGGGAAGAAAAUGACGGUACCUGAGUAAGAAGCCCCGGCUAACUACGUGCCAACAGCCGCGGUAAUACGUAGGGGGCAAGCGUUAUCCGGAUUUAUUGGGUUUGAAGGGUGCGUAGGCGGGGAGGGAAGUCAGCGGUUAAAUGCCCCCGCUCAACGGGGUGAAGUGCCAUUGAUACUGCCUUGCUGGAGUGCGGAUGGCGUGGGAGGAAUGUGUGGUGUAGCGGUGAAAUGCAUAGAUAUCACACAGAACACCGAUUGCGAAGGCAUCUCACGAAUCCGCGAUUGACGCUGAUGCACGAAAGCGUGGGUAUCAAACAGGAUUAGAUACCCUUGUAGUC